RNAcentral lists this ribosomal RNA (497 nucleotides) under uncultured bacterium. RNAcentral's name for it is "partial 16S ribosomal RNA". It matches the Rfam family "Bacterial small subunit ribosomal RNA", at positions 28 to 507 of the family's 1533-position model. The record is from RNAcentral.
GAUGAACGCUGGCGGCGUGCCUAAUACAUGCAAGUCGAGCGAACAGACGAGGAGCUUGCUCCUCUGACGUUAGCGGCGGACGGGUGAGUAACACGUGGAUAACCUACCUAUAAGACUGGGAUAACUUCGGGAAACCGGAGCUAAUACCGGAUAAUAUAUUGAACCGCAUGGUUCAAUAGUGAAAGACGGUUUUGCUGUCACUUAUAGAUGGAUCCGCGCCGCAUUAGCUAGUUGGUAAGGUAACGGCUUACCAAGGCAACGAUGCGUAGCCGACCUGAGAGGGUGAUCGGCCACACUGGAACUGAGAAACGGUCCAGUCUCCUACGGGAGGCAGCAGUAGGGAAUCUUCCGCAAUGGGCGAAAGCUUGACGGAGCAACGCCGCGUGAGUGAUGAAGGUCUUCGGAUCGUAAAACUCUGUUAUUAGGGAAGAACAAAUGUGUAAGUAACUAUGCACGUCUUGACGGUACCUAAUCAGAAAGCCACGGCUAACUACGUG